RNAcentral lists this ribosomal RNA (1402 nucleotides) under uncultured bacterium. RNAcentral's name for it is "bacterial SSU rRNA". It matches the Rfam family "Bacterial small subunit ribosomal RNA". The record is from RNAcentral.
AGAGUUUGAUCCUGGCUCAGGAUGAACGCUGGCGGCGUGCCUAACACAUGCAAGUCGAGCGGUAUAUAUUGGAACGAAAUUUCGAUCGAGUGAAGAUAUUGAGAGCGGCGGACGGGUGAGUAACGCGUAGGCAACCUGCCCCAUACAGAGGGAUAGCCUCGGGAAACCGGGAUUAAAACCUCAUAACGCCAAGAGUUCACAUGGACUUUUGGCCAAAGAUUUAUCGGUAUGGGAUGGGCCUGCGUCUGAUUAGCUAGUUGGUGGGGUAACGGCCUACCAAGGCAACGAUCAGUAGCCGACCUGAGAGGGUAAUCGGCCACAUUGGAACUGAGACACGGUCCAAACUCCUACGGGAGGCAGCAGUGGGGAAUAUUGCACAAUGGGCGAAAGCCUGAUGCAGCAACGCCGCGUGAGCGAUGAAGGCCUUUGGGUCGUAAAGCUCUGUCCUUGGGGAAGAAAAAAAUGACGGUACCCUUGGAGGAAGCCCCGGCUAACUACGUGCCAGCAGCCGCGGUAAUACGUAGGGGGCAAGCGUUAUCCGGAAUUAUUGGGCGUAAAGAGUGCGUAGGUGGUUUUAUAAGCGUGAGGUGAAAGGCAAUGGCUCAACUAUUGUAAGCCUUGUGAACUGUAAGACUUGAGUGCAGGAGAGGAAAGUGGAAUUCCUAGUGUAGCGGUGAAAUGCGUAGAUAUUAGGAGGAACACCAGUGGCGAAGGCGACUUUCUGGACUGUAACUGACACUGAGGCACGAAAGCGUGGGGAGCAAACAGGAUUAGAUACCCUGGUAGUCCACGCCGUAAACGAUGAGCACUAGGUGUCGGGGCCGCAAGGUUUCGGUGCCGCAGUUAACGCAUUAAGUGCUCCGCCUGGGGAGUACGCACGCAAGUGUGAAACUCAAAGGAAUUGACGGGGACCCGCACAAGCAGCGGAGCAUGUGGUUUAAUUCGAAGCAACGCGAAGAACCUUACCAGGACUUGACAUCCUUCUGACAGGACCUUAACCGGUCCCUCCUUCGGGCAGAAGAGACAGGUGGUGCAUGGUUGUCGUCAGCUCGUGUCGUGAGAUGUUGGGUUAAGUCCCGCAACGAGCGCAACCCUUGUCAUUAGUUGCCAUCAUUAAGUUGGGCACUCUAGUGAGACUGCCGGGGAUAACUCGGAGGAAGGUGGGGAUGACGUCAAAUCAUCAUGCCCCUUAUGUCCUGGGCUACACACGUGCUACAAUGGCUGGUACAAAGAGACGCAAGACCGCGAGGUGGAGCAAAUCUUCAAAACCAGUCCCAGUUCGGAUUGUAGGCUGAAACUCGCCUGCAUGAAGUCGGAGUUGCUAGUAAUCGCAGGUCAGCAUACUGCGGUGAAUACGUUCCCGGGCCUUGUACACACCGCCCGUCACACCACGAAAGUCUGU